UUCCGGUUGAUCCCGCCGGAGGCUACCGCUAUUGGAGUUCGAUUAAGCCAUGCGAGUCGUGAGUCUUAGGGACUCGGCGUACCGCUCAGUAACACGUGGGUAACCUGCCCUAUGCUGGGGGAUAACCUCGGGAAACUGAGAAUAAUACCCCAUAGUUCACCACGCCUGGAACGGUGGGUGGAUGAAAGCUCCGGCGGCAUAGGAUGGGCCUGCGGCGUAUCAGGUUGUAGGGGGUGUAAUGUACCCUCUAGCCAUCUACGCGUACGGGUGUUGGGAGACAUCGCCCGGAGAUGGAUUCUGAGACACGAAUCCAGACCCUACGGGGUGCAGCAGGCGCGAAAACUUGGCAAUGCGAGCAAUCGUGACCAGGGAACUCCAAGUGCAUCGGGUAAGACCGAUGCUUUUCUUGACUCUUCAAAGGUCUUGGAAUAAGGGGUGGGUAAGGACGGUGCCAGCCGCCGCGGUAAUACCGGCGCCUCAAGUGGUAGUCGCUUUUAUUGGGCCUAAAACGUCCGUAGCCGGUUUGGUACAUUCGUGGGUAAAUCAAGGCGCUCAACGUCUUGAAUUCUGCGAGCACGGCCAGACUUGGGACCGGGUGAGGUGUGGGGUACUCUCAGGGUAGGGGUAAAAUCCUGUCAUCCUGAGAGGACCACCUGUUGCGAAGGCGCCACACUAGAACGGAUCCGACGGUCAGGGACGAAGCCUAGGGGCACGAACCGGAUUAGAUACCCGGGUAGUCCUAGGUGUAAACGCUGUGGACUUGAUGUUGGGAGUGCUCCGAGCACCCUCAGUGUCGAAGCGAAGGUGAUAAGUCCACUGCCUGGGGAGUACGGUCGCAAGGCUGAAACUUAAAGGAAUUGGCGGGGGAGCACUGCAACCUGAGGAUUGUGCGGUUUAAUUGGAUUCAACGCCGG
RNAcentral lists this ribosomal RNA (914 nucleotides) under uncultured marine archaeon. RNAcentral describes it as "bacterial SSU rRNA". It matches the Rfam family "Archaeal small subunit ribosomal RNA", at positions 1 to 921 of the family's 1478-position model. The record is from RNAcentral.